This is a long non-coding RNA of Pan paniscus (pygmy chimpanzee), 1357 nucleotides long. The record is from Ensembl. NCBI's taxonomy places the organism in Eukaryota, Metazoa, Chordata, Mammalia, Primates, Hominidae.
UUGCUAAAGCUGUGAAAAAUGUGUCAUGCAUAAAAAGUAUGCAAUUUUCAUGUAAUUAGAGGAACACAAGAUGAAAAUGAGUUCCAUCAGAGCAAUCAAGGAUGGUAAUGUGAAGCUCUUCAACACAGCUACCUUUUGGGUUAUAUGCUCACCCUUAAACCAAUUACUGGGCUGUUUGGAAAGAGAGCACACACAUCAUAAAGAAGAGUUCAAGGUAAACCUAGACGAGUGAGUGGAUUUGAAGCCAUCAUAUCAUACAAUCAGAGAAUCUUAGGUUUUGAAUGAAAUGUGAAGAUAUAUUUCAAAUGAAUAAUUGGAAGAGUGAAUGAAAGAACUAAUGAAUCUAAUAGAAACUCUACUGAUUGCCUACAUACAAUGAUUGCCAUGAAUUGUUAUUUACUUUUUUAUGUAUACUAAUUAACACAUCUGCACCAUUCUCUCAGUGUGUGCAUAUCUUGUGUAUAGGAGGUAGUUAAGAAGUUCUCAGUAUAACUUUAUUAAAUUUACACCCUCAGAAAAUGUCUGCCAAAUGGGGAGAAAUGUGUAUUCAUUUUGCUUUCACCAACGAACUAGUAAAGACUUGCUGAAUGUUUCAUGAAUGAUAAAAGUGCAAGAUAAUAUAGGAUAAAAUGUAUACCAGGCAUAAACACUAAAGGUGAAAAAGAUCUGUAAAUUUAGAAAAACAUCAUCUGUACAAUAAGCAUCUUUUAGAGAGUCAUGAUGUCUCAUGGAGAGCUAUCUUUAUGGUUGAUAUAGUCCUAGUACAGACAAAAAAUUGUAUUUUCACAAAAUAAAAUGUGCAUUUCUAAUUUCAUUUACUUCGUUGUGUUCCUUUCAAUAUUUACCUUCCUAAAACACUCUAUACAUGAGAAUACAGUUGAAAAGUUGCUUAUUUGUCACACUCCCUUUCAUGGAUUCCAUGUCACUUUGUUGUUGUUGUUACUGUUUUAAGUCCCUCUGACUCCAUCUCCUUCAGCUCCAUCGGAAAGGUGGGCACUGUGUAAUAUUUUCUUUCCCAUCAGAGUAUACCUGAACUCUCUGAGGUCAAGACCAUUUUUGCUGUUGUUGUUCACACCAUGUUCUCGGGGCCCAUCCCAUGGUGGCCCUCACACAGGGCACGAUGACUACAUUGUAGAAGACCUGUGCUCCAGUGUGGAUCUUCCUCUUUAGAUCCAGACUUACUGAUGCACAGAUCAAUGCUCAGUGUGGAUAUCUUCAGGCUCCUCAAUCAGGACUUCCAAAGUACAGAUAAACAAACAAACAAACAAAAAUACAUCAUUUUCUACUCAGAAUAAACCCAAACAUCUUCCAUCACUGCAAGUAUGUUGACACUUUCUGAAUAGCGGCCCACCAUGUC